RNAcentral lists this ribosomal RNA (490 nucleotides) under uncultured Candidatus Cloacimonas sp. RNAcentral's name for it is "bacterial SSU rRNA". It matches the Rfam family "Bacterial small subunit ribosomal RNA", at positions 28 to 507 of the family's 1533-position model. Lineage: Bacteria; Pseudomonadati; Candidatus Cloacimonadota; Cloacimonadia (SeqCode); Cloacimonadales (SeqCode); Cloacimonadaceae (SeqCode). The record is from RNAcentral.
GACGAACGCUGGCGGCGUGGAUUAGGCAUGCAAGUCGAACGGUAUGGUGCUUUCGGGCAUCAGAGAGUGGCGAACGGGUGAGUAACACGUAGGUGAUCUACCCUCAAGACGGGGACAACCCAGGGAAACUUGGGCUAAUACCGGAUGAUAGCAGCAGUGAUGUUGUUUAAAAGAUGGCUUUCGGGCUGUCGUUUGGGGAUGAGCCUGCGUCCUAUUAGCUAGUUGGUGUGGUAAAGGCACACCAAGGCGAUGAUAGGUAGGCGGCCUUAACGGGUGGUCGCCCACACUGGGAUUGAGAUACGGCCCAGACUCCUACGGGAGGCAGCAGUCGAGAAUAGUCUACAAUGGUCGGAAGACUGAUAGUGCGACGCCGCGUGAACGAGGAAGCCCUUCGGGGUGUAAAGUUCUUUUAUAUGUGAGCAGUGGGUUCUACGUUAAUAGCGUGGGAUCAGGGAUAUUAGCAUAUGAAUAAGCAACGGCUAACUCCGUG